Molecule: long non-coding RNA, 3433 nt
Organism: Vidua macroura (Pin-tailed whydah)
Lineage: Eukaryota; Metazoa; Chordata; Aves; Passeriformes; Viduidae
Exons: 2
Source: RefSeq, a predicted model, not a curated record
GAUCCUUUUGCUCCAAAUAAUUUAUUUUCACAUCUGCUUUUUAAAUUGAAUCCUAGGUAAUCAGUUAGGAGAGGUUGUAAAGAUUCAAAAUCACAGCAGGAAGGUAAAAAUUGAGUAAAAGGGAUAAUGUUACUCAAUGGCAUAUGCUUACUGCAAGAUAGAAGAGUGUCAUGUGACUUUUUAAAUAGUUUACCUCAAUUAUUCAAACAAGAAUUUUUUUCACAGCUAGCUACAGCCUUCAGCAUUUGUAGAGAGAUGGGUAUUGGUAGAAUAUUUUACCCCCAAAACCACAAAACUGGACGCUGUGUGCUUGCCUUAAUAACUCUGGGAUAGAUGGAGUAGCACUGCCAGCUGAACCCUUAGAGAACUAAGCAGAGAGGCUGAAGAUUAUCUAGCCUGGCAGACUGAAUUUAGUUAUCUUUUUAAGUCACUUAUACAGACAACUGAGGACCAUACUAGUUUGGACUCCAUUUGCCACCGUGAUUGACCCAACAUCUUUCAUGAGAAUGCAGUCCAUUCACAAAUAUAUGUGAAUGUAUACUCUCAAGAUGUAAUCAAUGAGCUUACAAUAAAUAAUUGCAUAUUAAAUUGCACAAGAGGUCCACUAUAUGAUUAAUGGGAUACCUUUUACUUAGAAAGUGUACUUGUUUUUACCCUAUUAAUCUAUCAGUGCGAUAAUACUUAAAAUACAAAUAGUCAACAGUUCAAGUAACAAUAUUAAUAUAAGAUCCACAGUAAAGUAUGUCACAACAAGUACAUGACAAGAAAUAUGUAUGACUCAGGUCUACCUAUACCAAUGAAGUUGGUGAAUAUUUUCAGUGCAUGUGUAGUGAGUUGAUCUUGGCUAGAUGCCAGGUGCCCACCAGGCUGCUCUAUCACUCCCCUCUACAGCAGGACAGUGGAGAGAAAAUAAGAUGCAAAACAACUAGUAGUUGAGAUAAGGCAGUUUACAAAAGCAAAGAACAAAAAAAAAAAAGAAAAGCAAAAGUUUAUGCAUGCAUAAGCGAAAGGGAAAACAAUUAAUAUCUAUUUCCCAUCAGCAAGCAAUAUUCAGCCACUUCUCAGGAAGCAGGAUUUCAGUACACAUUUCUGGAAUGGUUACUCCAGAGAUCAAAAGUGGUAACAUAACAAAUGUUCCCCAUUCCUUCUCUCUCCCAUAGCUUUUGUAUCGGAGCUGAUGUCAUAUGGUAUGGAAUAUCCCUUUGGUUUAUUUGGGUCAGCUAUUUUGGCCUAGUUGUGUCCCCUAUCAGGAUCUUGCCCACUCCCUGUCCCUUGAUAGGAGCCAUGGGAGAGAAUGUUAGAGACAGUGCCGAUGCUGUGCCAGUGCUGCUCAGCAGUAGCAAAACCACUGGUGUGUUAUCAGUACCUUUCCAGCUACCAAUGCAAAGCACAGCACUGUGACGGCAGCUAAGGGAAAAUGAACUCUAUCUGAGCCAGACCCAAUACAGCAAGGGUGAAGUGUGGUGUCCUGAAAAGAUUCAAAUUAACAUCAGCAAUGGAUUAGUCAUGAAAUCGACAUGUUUAGACAUGAAGGGGCUUAACAACACAAAGCAGGAGCACAGAUAGAAUGUGACUGACUUUACUGCUCUGAAAAGCAGAUUUGUUUCCAAGCCCAGGGAAUGCUGACACAGUUUAAUGGGAAAUUAAAAAAAAAUAAAUAUUAAAAAAGAGCCUCCUUUAAGCCUAGCACUGUAUAUUGCUUGGCAAAGAGGAGUUACAGUCUGAUUGACAUCUCUAAUGGCACAGCAGCCUAAUUUACCAUCCCUGUAUUGAUGAAAUUGAAGCCCAGACAGAAGAAUGCUGCUGCUUCCUUUAAAAAUGGCAUAUUCACAGCCUGCCAAUUCAGCAUUUUCUUUUUUCUUUUCCACCCAGGACCAAUAUGAGCAAUUAAAAGUAAUUUUUCACUUGAUCAUUUAAGUAAAUAGGAGGAUUUUUUUAAUGUUCGUAGCAAGGAGUUGUAAGGACCUGAUAGUAAAAAUAAUGCCUCAAAAAGUGCUUCACCAUUAUCAUUAUCUCUUUGAACACCUGAAUACUAUGAGCAGCCCACCUUGAAAUCCAUAAAAAGGAAGGCAAAACCUGUGCAAAACUAGGGAGGAGGAAGAGAAUGACAGAAACUCCGGUCUAUGCCUUCCUGCCCCUCCCUCCACUGCUACUGUCCAAGGUUUUUCACAGCUGGAGAAAGAACCUAAAGCCUCCAAAAGCUGAGACUCCACGAAGCCUUGGAUGCCUCCAGCCUGGGGAAAACAGUAACCUACUGUGACACACACAUGACUCGUGGAAACCCUCCUCUGCUCCUGCAUCCUCUGGUGUGAGCAACAAGAGUGGACCAAAGUCAGCUGCAGGGACCACAUGCUGAAUCUACUUUUCAGAAGGUGCUGUUGCCUUAGCUGCAGUUGAACACAAUGAGCACCAACAAAAAGCUGAUAUGGAAAUUAUUGCAUCGUUACAAGAUUUGGUUAAAGUGUCACAACUGCAACUAGAAGAAGUUGAGGCUAACACCUGUCUCCUCCACAAAGAGAUAAGAAAUCAGAAAGCUACGUGUUACCAUGUGUACUCAUGUACUUCAAGAGGAGCUGCAUGUGAGAUUAGCAAGUGGAACAAAAAAGGGAGAUAGAGCUGGAGCUAUCCAAAUAAACAUAUCCCCUCUCUGACUUAGAAUCUUUGCAUAAUCAGUCAGAGAAACUGCCAGUCUCACUUUGUCCCUUAAAUAAAAUAUAACACAUGGGUUCGGAUGAUGACACACUUUACAUAACUGUGGAGGCCUGUGAGCCUAUUGGGAAAAGGGCAGUGGCAAUGCCCUGGAGGGAUGCACCUUAGGCUCCGGACAUCCCCCAUAUGUUAGGGUGAAACAGAAGGCUACCCCCAUGGUGCACUGCAGCACUAUGUUAAUUUACCCCAGUUCUGUAUUUCCCAUUGGCCUGUUGGCUGUCCCUACUUCUUUUACCCCUAUAUAGUCUUGUUCUAGAAUAUUCCCCACUCCAUGUUUCCCCAUUGGUUAAUGUAACCCUGCCUGUCUACCCUGGUACUCCCUAUUGGCUCCUGCCCUUUGUACCUCACCUAUUCCCUCAGCUGAUUGGCCCUGAUGCUUUGCUCCACCUCCUCUUUCACAUAUUUAUACCCUGGACCCUCCACUGUCCGUUGUAUUCUGUCCCUAGACCCCUUCUGUGCUGGAUCUUAAUAAACCUUCGCUGGAACCACAUGUAGAAGAUCCUCCUGUGUCUCACCAGCCUGCUUGCUGUGGUGUGCUUGACUGCUUGAGUGCGUUAUUGUUGUGUGCCUGACCAAAUGUUCUCCCUCCGAGGACGCUUGCGGGGAAGAUAGCAGCGGUGACCACCUUGCCUUGCCACUACACAUAAUCAUGAUAGAAAUCCCAUAUACGGCUACUGAAUUGGUUAAAUUAGAAAAGGAAUAAAGAAACACCUAAAGGCCCUGA